AGGAGAAAGCUUGCUUUCUUGCUGACGAGUGGCGGACGGGUGAGUAAUGCUUGGGAAUCUGGCUUAUGGAGGGGGAUAACGACGGGAAACUGUCGCUAAUACCGCGUAUUAUCGGAAGAUGAAAGUGCGGGACUGAGAGGCCGCAUGCCAUAGGAUGAGCCCAAGUGGGAUUAGGUAGUUGGUGGGGUAAAGGCCUGCCAAGCCAGCGAUCUCUAGCUGGUCUGAGAGGAUGACCAGCCACACUGGAACUGAGACACGGUCCAGACUCCUACGGGAGGCAGCAGUGGGGAAUAUUGCGCAAUGGGGGGAACCCUGACGCAGCCAUGCCGCGUGAAUGAAGAAGGCCUUCGGGUUGUAAAGUUCUUUCGGUAUUGAGGAAGGUUGAUGUGUUAAUAGCACAUCAAAUUGACGUUAAAUACAGAAGAAGCACCGGCUAACUCCGUGCCAGCAGCCGCGGUAAUACGGAGGGUGCGAGCGUUAAUCGGAAUAACUGGGCGUAAAGGGCACGCAGGCGGUUAUUUAAGUGAGGUGUGAAAGCCCCGGGCUUAACCUGGGAAUUGCAUUUCAGACUGGGUAACUAGAGUACUUUAGGGAGGGGUAGAAUUCCACGUGUAGCGGUGAAAUGCGUAGAGAUGUGGAGGAAUACCGAAGGCGAAGGCAGCCCCUUGGGAAUGUACUGACGCUCAUGUGCGAAAGCGUGGGGAGCAAACAGGAUUAGAUACCCUGGUAGUCCACGCUGUAAACGCUGUCGAUUUGGGGGUUGGGGUUUAACUCUGGCGCCCGUAGCUAACGUGAUAA
This 798-nucleotide ribosomal RNA is filed under the name uncultured Haemophilus sp. RNAcentral's name for it is "bacterial SSU rRNA". It matches the Rfam family "Bacterial small subunit ribosomal RNA", at positions 70 to 863 of the family's 1533-position model. The record is from RNAcentral. Lineage: Bacteria; Pseudomonadati; Pseudomonadota; Gammaproteobacteria; Pasteurellales; Pasteurellaceae.